Molecule: ribosomal RNA, 253 nt
Filed under: uncultured bacterium
Lineage: Bacteria
Description: partial 16S ribosomal RNA
Rfam family: Bacterial small subunit ribosomal RNA
Source: RNAcentral
UACGUAGGGUGCGAGCGUUGCCCGGAAUUAUUGGGCGUAAAGGGCGCGUAGGCGGCUUUGCAAGUGACGGGUGAAAUCCCUCGGCUUAACCGAGGAACUGCCUGUCAGACUGUGAGGCUUGAGACCGGGAGAGGUGAGUGGAAUUCCCAGUGUAGCGGUGAAAUGCGUAGAUAUUGGGAGGAACACCAGUGGCGAAGGCGGCUCACUGGACCGGAACUGACGCUGAGGCGCGAAAGCGUGGGGAGCAAACAGG